CGGGCUUCCUAGGGCAGCAGGCAGGCUCUGCCCACCUCCUCGUUCAGACAGGACUGUAAAUGCAGUGCGAGUGACCCACACAGGCUGGAGCCCAACACCAACCAGCAGUGCGGUGCCAAACAUCUGCUCACCAGCUUGCGCUGUUUAACUCUUCCCUUCAUCAGAUGGGUACAAGAGAAGUUACAACUUCCUUGUCCAAGUUGGUUUAACGUGCACGGAAGUUCAUUUUCUUCUUAGGAUUAUAAUGCUGGGAGGAAGAAAGCACCUGCGGCCUUCAGGCCACUGCUCUGCCCCAGCUCUCUGCUGAACCCACACCGGGGUAACUAGGUCCCCCUUAGUUAUACUGGAAACAUUGACUGUACUUGGCACUUUGAGGGGUCAGGGGCGCUUAUCGCAAAUGUAGAAAUAAGAAUUAAAUUUGGUAAUUUCCUGAUUAGCCCAUAGUGUGUUUCAUUUUGAAUGUAUAUUAUUGGCCUUGGCAAAGUUUUCUUCUCUUUCUGGAACUUCUGGAGCUACAAAGAUUAAGUUUAGUAAGUGCAGUGUUGUUUUGUUAGCGAGAAGCAGAGGAGGGGGACUUCUGUAGGCAAUCAACACUCCAUGUGGCUCUUGGCUUUAUUAGAGCAACUCUAACCCAUAACAGAAUUAAAGCCCAGGGACUGUGACUUUGUCUCUAUUCUUAGCAUCUUACACAUAGUAGGUGCUCAGCUCAUGCUUGUUCCAUUCAAUUAAACCCACAGGGUACAACAGAAGCAUGCCAAGUCAAAUUCUCAACUGGGAAGAAAUAUACUGAAUCUUAUAGCUGAACUCUUAACUGCAAUUACCUUUGGGAGGUUCAAAGUCCAGCUGGAAAGACCACAGAGCAGAGGGAGGUCUUCCUCCCCGACAACCCCCACCUUGUCAGUCAUGAGGAGGACGGAUGCUAUGGGCUGAUUCUAUUGGACGUGAAGAUUAGGAUCCUGACUGAUCCUCUUUUGCCUCCUUCUUCGUUUCUUCUUCCUCCUUCUUUGCCUUCUCUUCUUCCUCCUCUGCUCGUUCCUUUCUGCUUCACCUACUUCCUUUUCUUUCUCUCUCUUCUAUUUUUCUCCCACAUCUUUGUGGAAAUCAAAGUGUUUCCCAGACUCACUGCCCAGCUGCAGCGUCGCUUCAUAACACCCCCACGCCGUUUCCAGGGCCAAUGGUCUGUCCUCUCUGCCCAUUCAGGUAUGCUCCAAGGGGGCCUCUGAAAGCAUAGCAUGACCUGCACCCAGUUGCUGGAGUGUCAAGACAUUGGUUAAUAAAAAGUAGUUGGGAUCCCUGGGUGGCGCA
RNAcentral lists this long non-coding RNA (1305 nucleotides) under Vulpes vulpes (red fox). RNAcentral describes it as "lncRNA (ENSVVUG00000020815.1)". Lineage: Eukaryota; Metazoa; Chordata; Mammalia; Carnivora; Canidae. The record is from RNAcentral.